UACGAAGGGGGCUAGCGUUGUUCGGAUUUACUGGGCGUAAAGCGCACGUAGGCGGAUUGGUCAGUUAGAGGUGAAAUCCCGAAGCUCAACUUCGGAACUGCCUUUAAUACUGCCAGUCUAGAGUCCGGAAGAGGUGAGUGGAACUCCUAGUGUAGAGGUGGAAUUCGUAGAUAUUAGGAAGAACACCAGUGGCGAAGGCGGCUCACUGGUCCGGUACUGACGCUGAGGUGCGAAAGCGUGGGGAGCAAAC
Molecule: ribosomal RNA, 250 nt
Filed under: uncultured bacterium
Lineage: Bacteria
Description: partial 16S ribosomal RNA
Rfam family: Bacterial small subunit ribosomal RNA
Source: RNAcentral